UUAAUAUGGCAGAAAAGUGCAAUAGAUUUAAAUCCUAUAUAUAAAGACAUAUCUCAUCUUUUAUUAAAA
This 69-nucleotide transfer RNA is filed under the name Camponotus sp. 1 ZC-2012. RNAcentral describes it as "tRNA-Leu". The record is from RNAcentral. Lineage: Eukaryota; Metazoa; Arthropoda; Insecta; Hymenoptera; Formicidae.